Molecule: long non-coding RNA, 260 nt
Organism: Mauremys mutica (yellowpond turtle)
Lineage: Eukaryota; Metazoa; Chordata; Testudines; Geoemydidae
Exons: 3
Source: RefSeq, a predicted model, not a curated record
GAGUCAAGUUAUUUAUGCUGGUUUCAAUAGAACAACUCGGCGAGCAUCUUUACUGUCCGACUUAAGUGUCUACAGGAAUGCAUCCCUAGACUGCAUAGGAACAGUCUCAUGGCUACAUUUGGACAACAUCUAGGACCAGGAGGUCUUGAUCUCUGAUGAUGCUACUGUACUAACGAGUUGCAGAUGUUACAUGCCAGCAAAGGCGAACUCCUUGGAGAAGAGUGUCAGUGAGUGGCUAGCAUGAUGUGAGGAUGUCAAGG